RNAcentral lists this ribosomal RNA (3396 nucleotides) under Saccharomyces eubayanus. Its description in RNAcentral is "RDN25". Lineage: Eukaryota; Fungi; Ascomycota; Saccharomycetes; Saccharomycetales; Saccharomycetaceae. The record is from RNAcentral.
UUUCCUCAGGUUAAAGUUUCUAAUGUCUUCAUCACCGAAAUCAAUCGAUCCUGCAGUUGUAUCAUAAUAUCUGAGCAAAAGAGAGGCAAUCGUUGAUUUACCACUUCCUGAUGGACCUACAGCGCAGACAUGUUCACCAGGUUUUAUAGUGAUAUUCAAAUCCUUAAAGAUUUGAUGUUUGGGCCGAGUUGGAUAUGUGAACGAUACGUCUUUAAAGACAAUAGGUUUGUGUGCCAAAGACACUGGAUCCUUCCCAAUAGUCGGGCGAAUUAGCGGUUUACGAUCAUUCAAUUCGAACACUCUAGCUGCUGCACCGGCACCUUUCAUAAGCUCCGAGUAGAAGCUGGAUAAACCAAAUAGUGAGCUUCCGGUAUACACAGCGUACAUCAUAAAACUUGUUAGCUCACCAACUGUCAUAGCACCGCUCUGAAUCAUAUUCGUUCCGACCAAUAAUAACGAUAACAUUGCUGCAUUACCCACCAGUCCCGUACUUCCGAAGAACAAACCAGAAGUAACAGCCUCCUUCAGACCGACAUGAAAGACGUUUCUAACUUCUUUUGCGUAACGGCGGACUUCAUUUUUCUCACCACCGUAUGCUUGAAUUGUUCUUGUAGCAUUCAGCUGCUCUUCUGCUACUUUUGUUAACCCACCUACAGAAGUUUGUAGUUGUCUUGAUAAAUUUCGUAUUUUUCUACCAUAUAUCAGCGCCAUGGCACCUAAUGGAGGAGCCAGAACCAUCAUGACACAAGUUAAUUUCCAAGAGAGGAAACUCAUCAUACCAAAACCGACAAACCCUUGAAUGAUUGCUCUUGCUCCAUCCGAGACGUUCUGUGUGACAGAUUUUGCCACUAUGGAAGCGUCUGACGAUAGUCUUGAAAUUAAAUCACCGACACGAUUGGUAUCUAAAAAUGUUGCAUCUUGGUCUAAAGCAGCUUUCAUCGUUCUUGUUCUUAGUCUUGCGACUAGUCGUUCACCGGUGACUUUCAAAAUGAUUAUUCUACUAGCGUUAGCGAUUGCGCCGAUUAAGAACACAGCCCCUAGAGCUGUAAAGAACUGCCUCUUGGUUAGACCAUAAAGCUUGUUAUCUUUUGUUUCUUCCUCGUCUUCUUCGUCGUCAUUGUGGGAAGCUAAAUCUAAUAAUUUACCUAUGACGGAGGGUACAGCCAUACUAACUGAACUCGAAAUAAGAAUUAAAAGAAGAGCAAGUCCGAUGUAUCCGGAUUCUGGUUUGGAUAAUACAAACAACCGUUUGAUAUCUUUGAACCCUGAUGAUUUUGAAUCUGCAUCGGAUAGUUUUAAAGUAGGUGAACCAGAGCUAGCAGACUUCUUUCCAUUUGUAGGGCUUGACUGGAAACGAAUUGUUUGAAACAUCAAUGGCUUCCUGUGAGGUAUAGUCGGUCUUGCCCUUAUCUUUGGGUACACUAUGGGUCUAAUUAACGGUUUAGUCAAGUAUAGUGCCCUUGAUGAUGAGAAUUGCCUUCGCAACAUGUUUGGACCAUUGAAAAGACGUAUCAUUCUUGUAAUCCCUUUAUCCUUCCUCUUUUAUAGUCUAGUAUCCUUCUGCUAAUACGCCUCUCAUGUAAGUAAUACCGUUCACUUAGUUCGAGUAUAUAUCUAUGAGUAUAUUCAAUAUUAAAAUUUCAACAUAUAUAAAUCAUGGUACUGUAGUCUCGGCUCGAUGCGCCUAAACGAAAGCGAGGCGACAGCGACAGCAAUAGGCUUGUGAACUAAUAUUUAUACGCAUAGAAAAUAAAAACAAAGCAAGAGGGAGUGAAUAAGGAUUAUUUUCAUAGAUCCUAUGGAUAAAAUAAUACAUAUAUUGAGAAGUACAUAGAAAUGGUUAACAAAAAGAAAUGGAAAUAGUGGAAACGGAAUUGAACUAGUUAGAAUAUGGGUUAGUUGAUGUGUUAUUAGGUGGCAUAAACUGUGAAAAUCCGCCUGGUGUGACACGUGGCUUUGUGUGAUUAUUGAUCUUUAUAGGAGGAUUAGAGCGGCUAUCUUGUAUGUUGGGCUGUAUUAUUGGUGCUGGGCCUCUACUAUUUAUUGGUGCUUUAUUAUUCGGAUAUCUCAUAUUUUGGGGUUGUUGCUGUGAUGGGUAUAACGGAUUCUGGUUGUUAAUGCCCCGGUAAACAUCGUUUCUCAGAGGAAGCAAUUGUGCUUGUUGCGAUUGUUGUGAGGGAGCGAAACGCUGUUGCGGAAAUUGGGGAUUAUUAAUUGGCGAGUUCCCGCUCUGAUGCAUAGGUUGAGUGGUCAAUGGGCCCGUUCUUAUAUUGACCAAUGGGCGGCCAGAGGGAUAUGACGCCAAAGGCUGUGAGGCGUUGGUUUGUAAAUUUCUGUUAGCAUAUGACGGAGAUUGCGGUCCUGUAUGAGGUGCUUGCAAUUGUUGAGAUUGUUUCGUUUGAUAUUCAGUACCAUUCAUCAUAUUUUGGUAGGCGCCUCCAUUUGAGGUGAGCUGUUUCAAAUUCGUAAACAGAGAAGAAUGAGGUAUCUUCUCAUUCCUGCCGCUGACAGUAAAUUUCUCAGUUUCCGUUGGGUUUAUCUGUGUACUGCUAUAGUUACUUGAUCCUGCAUCCUGGUUAUCAGAGAAGUCAAAUUCAUCCGUAGUGUAUCUACUUUCCGUUUCCAGCAUUUGGUUUUGUUCCAUAUAGUCAGGAUCAAAUACGUUUGCUUCUCCGAAAUCCAGUUUACGUUGGUCAUCAGGUAAGGUGGUAGGUGAAUCAGUACUAAUGUCUAAGUUCAAAUCCGUUACUAAAGAAUUAUCCUCUGAUUUUUCAUUUAGAGCCUCUGAAGACAUAUUGCCUACUCCCAUAUUGCUAAUCUUUCGGGAAAGCUCUUCAAACUCUCCUAACGAUCCCAUAUACUCAUUUCUUGAAUAUCUAUUAUCCUCUACCCUUACAGGUGACGAUAGACACGUGUUGAUUGUGCUCUUGGAUUCUCUCACAUUACCUAUUUCAAAUAUCUUACUUUCAGCGGAUGUUCCAACAUAUCUCUCAUAAGGACUUCUACAUUCGCUUUCAAUUCGAUCGUUGACAUCUAAAGUUUGUGGCUUAGGACUUAAAUUAGCCUCGGAUUUACCAAAUGGCGAAGUAGAGUAUUUGUCAUAAAGAGCAGAUAAGUCAGGCGCAUUAGCCAGUGGUAUAUGCUUGUCUUCCGGUGUCGUGGAAAAGUUGUUGGAAGAGUCCGCUUCGACUUCUUCCGUACUUUUGAGACUCGAAUCCGUGAUUUCAAUCUUCAGACCCGAUGUCAAGCUUCUAUUCGUAUUCUCUUGAUUGAGCAUCCCAGAUGUCAUUGGAGUGGUAAAGCUAUCCUUGAAGUUGGUGAUAGCGCUGGAUUGAGUGGAUAAAGAAUCACUGAUUUUUGAGGAGUUGUCAGGCACAGACAAAAGGGUUUGUUUCG